Molecule: ribosomal RNA, 261 nt
Filed under: uncultured Peptococcaceae bacterium
Lineage: Bacteria; Bacillati; Bacillota; Clostridia; Eubacteriales; Peptococcaceae
Description: partial 16S ribosomal RNA
Rfam family: Bacterial small subunit ribosomal RNA
Source: RNAcentral
AAAACAACUACGGAGGGUGCAAGCGUUGUUCGGAAUUACUGGGCGUAAAGCGCGCGUAGGCGGUUUGUUAAGUCAGAUGUGAAAGCCCAUGGCUCAACCCUGAGAGUGCAUCGGAAACUGGGGAUCUUGAGGACAGGAGAGGAAAGUGGAAUUCCACGUGUAGCGGUGAAAUGCGUAGAUAUGUGGAGGAACACCAGUGGCGAAGGCGACUUUCUGGACUGUAACUGACGCUGAGGCGCGAAAGCGUGGGGAGCAAACAGG